AUUGAACGCUGGCGGCAGGCCUAACACAUGCAAGUCGAACGGUAACAGGAAGCAGCUUGCUGCUUCGCUGACGAGUGGCGGACGGGUGAGUAAUGUCUGGGAAACUGCCUGAUGGAGGGGGAUAACUACUGGAAACGGUAGCUAAUACCGCAUAACGUCGCAAGACCAAAGAGGGGGACCUUAGGGCCUCUUGCCAUCGGAUGUGCCCAGAUGGGAUUAGCUAGUAGGUGGGGUAACGGCUCACCUAGGCGACGAUCCCUAGCUGGUCUGAGAGGAUGACCAGCCACACUGGAACUGAGACACUGUCCAGACUCCUACGGGAGGCAGCAGUGGGGAAUAUUGCACAAUGGGCGCAAGCCUGAUGCAGCCAUGCCGCGUGUAUGAAGAAGGCCUUCGGGUUGUAAAGUACUUUCAGCGGGGAGGAAGGGAGUAAAGUUAAUACCUUUGCUCAUUGACGUUACCCGCAGAAGAAGCGCCGGCUAACUCCGUG
RNAcentral lists this ribosomal RNA (490 nucleotides) under uncultured bacterium. RNAcentral describes it as "partial 16S ribosomal RNA". It matches the Rfam family "Bacterial small subunit ribosomal RNA", at positions 30 to 507 of the family's 1533-position model. The record is from RNAcentral.